UUAGUAAUGGCGAAUGAACAGGGAUCAGCUCAGUAUGGAAAUCGGGGCUUCCCAGCCUUGAAUUGUAGUCUCAAGAGGUAUCGCCAACGGAGGCGCAGAUGUAAGCCUCUUGGAAAAGAGCAUCAAUGAGGGUGAGAAUCCCGUUUGUCAUCUGCAGUCCCCCGUGCACGGUGUAUCUUCUAAGAGUCGCGUUCCUCGGGAUUGGAGCGUAAAGUGGGUGGUAAAUUUCAUCUAAGGCUAAAUAUGGGUUCGAGACCGAUAGCAAACAAGUACCAUGAGGGAAAGAUGAAAAGGACUUUGAAAAGAGAGUUAAAAGUGCCUGAAAUUGCUGAAAGGGAAGCGAAUGGAACCAGUGCUCUUGGCGAGAUUGUUGUGCGCUAUGGUGAUUGCUGGCUGCUUCAGCGCAAGCGGGGUAGUUGGUACUGAGCCUGCCGCGCGCAGUGUUUCUUACCUUGUGCGUCACCGUCGGUUCACAGGCGAGGAUACUUCUGAGGACAUGGUAACUCUUCCACGGAGGUGUGAAUGUCUUCUGGUAAUACUCGUUUGUAGACCGCUCACCUUCGGGUUACGAUGACUAAAUGGUUCUAUUCGACCCGUCUUG
This 601-nucleotide ribosomal RNA is filed under the name Amphidoma languida. RNAcentral describes it as "partial large subunit ribosomal RNA". It matches the Rfam family "Eukaryotic large subunit ribosomal RNA", at positions 80 to 656 of the family's 3401-position model. Lineage: Eukaryota; Dinophyceae; Gonyaulacales; Amphidomataceae. The record is from RNAcentral.